UACGAAGGGGGCUAGCGUUGCUCGGAAUGACUGGGCGUAAAGGGCGCGUAGGCGGCUUGUAGAGUCGGAUGUGAAAUUCCUGGGCUUAACCUGGGGGCUGCAUUCGAUACCUACGGGCUUGAGUGCGGAAGAGGGUCGUGGAAUUCCCAGUGUAGAGGUGAAAUCCGUAGAUAUUAGGAGGAACACCGAUGGCGUAGGCAGAUAACUGGCUCAUUCCUGACACUAAGGCACGAAAGCGUGGGUAGCAAACGGG
RNAcentral lists this ribosomal RNA (253 nucleotides) under uncultured bacterium. RNAcentral's name for it is "partial 16S ribosomal RNA". It matches the Rfam family "Bacterial small subunit ribosomal RNA", at positions 524 to 776 of the family's 1533-position model. The record is from RNAcentral.